This 451-nucleotide ribosomal RNA is filed under the name uncultured bacterium. RNAcentral describes it as "partial 16S ribosomal RNA". It matches the Rfam family "Bacterial small subunit ribosomal RNA", at positions 354 to 796 of the family's 1533-position model. The record is from RNAcentral.
GUGGGGAAUAUUGGACAAUGGGGGGAACCCUGAUCCAGCCAUGCCGCGUGUGUGAAGAAGGCCUUUUGGUUGUAAAGCACUUUAAGCGAGGAGGAGGCUACUCUAGUUAAUACCUGGGGAUAGUGGACGUUACUCGCAGAAUAAGCACCGGCUAACUCUGUGCCAGCAGCCGCGGUAAUACAGAGGGUGCGAGCGUUAAUCGGAUUUACUGGGCGUAAAGCGUGCGUAGGCGGCUUUUUAAGUCGGAUGUGAAAUCCCUGAGCUUAACUUAGGAAUUGCAUUCGAUACUGGGAAGCUAGAGUAUGGGAGAGGAUGGUAGAAUUCCAGGUGUAGCGGUGAAAUGCGUAGAGAUCUGGAGGAAUACCGAUGGCGAAGGCAGCCAUCUGGCCUAAUACUGACGCUGAGGUACGAAAGCAUGGGGAGCAAACAGGAUUAGAUACCCUAGUAGUCC